This 467-nucleotide ribosomal RNA is filed under the name uncultured bacterium. RNAcentral describes it as "partial 16S ribosomal RNA". It matches the Rfam family "Bacterial small subunit ribosomal RNA", at positions 28 to 507 of the family's 1533-position model. The record is from RNAcentral.
GACGAACGCUGGCGGCGUGCUUAACACAUGCAAGUCGAACGGAAAGGCCUCUUUCGGGGGGUACUCGAGUGGCGAACGGGUGAGUAACACGUGAGUAACCUGCCCUUGACUUUGGGAUAACUUCAGGAAACUGGGGCUAAUACCGGAUAGGAGCUCCUGCUGCAUGGUGGGGGUUGGAAAGUUUCGGCGGUUGGGGAUGGACUCGCGGCUUAUCAGCUUGUUGGUGGGGUAGUGGCUUACCAAGGCUUUGACGGGUAGCCGGCCUGAGAGGGUGACCGGCCACAUUGGGACUGGGAUACGACCCAGACUCCUACGGGAGGCAGCAGUGGGGAAUUUUGCACAAUGGGUGGAAGCCUGAUGCAGCAACGCCGGGUGCGGGAUGACGGCCUUCGGGUUGGAAACCGCUUUCGCUCAUGACGAAGCUUUGUGUGACGGUAGUGGGUAAAGAAGCACCGGCUAACUACGUG